CUCAAAGAUUAAGCCAUGCAUGCGUGUUCAACGUAAGUAAAACUGCGAACGGCUCAUUAGAGCAGAUAUAUUUUAUUCCGGUUAUCAUUUUGGAUAACCUGCGGAAAUACUGGAGCUAAUACAUGCAAUAAAACCUCGACUUCGGAAGGGGUGCAAUUAUUAGUACAAACCAAUCGCUUCUGGCGUAGUUUGUUGACUCUGAGUAAUUCUGUGGAUCGUCGGUCAAUCCGACGAUGUCCGGAAAAAGUGUCUGCCCUAUCAACUUGAUGGUAGUGUAUUGGACUACCAUGGUUAUAACGGGUAACGGAGAAUCAGGGUUCGACUCCGGAGAGGGAGCCUUAGAAACGGCUACCACAUCCAAGGAAGGCAGCAGGCGCGUAACUUAUCCAUUAUAAAUUAUGAGAUAGUGACUAAACAUAAAAAGACCGUUCCUCACGGAAUGGUUAUUUCAAUGAUACGAGUGUAAAUAUCUCGUAAAGGAACUAGUGGAGGGCAAGUCUGGUGCCAGCAGCCGCGGUAAUUCCAGCUCCACUAGCUUAAAACGUCAUUGCUGAGGUUAAAAAGCUCGUAGUUGAAACUAAGGCUUGUGAUAUGGUUCGUCCUAGACGUUAACUAUGUCCUUGUCUGAUUUGUCGGUUUUCCACUUGUGACUUCGGUUCUUGUGGUGGCUGGCGAGUUUACUUUGAAUAAAUCAGAGUGCUCAACACAGGCGUUCGCCUGAAUGUUGCAUCAAGGGAUAAUAGAAGAGGACUUCGGUCCCUUUUAUUGGUUAUUGGACCGUAGUAAUGAUUAAUAGAGACGAUUCGGGGGCAUUCGUAUCACUACGCGACCGGUGAAAUGGGAUGACCGUAGUGAGACGUCCAAAAGCGAAAGCAAUUGCCAAGAACGUUCUCAUUAAUCAAGAACGAAAGUCAGAGGUUCGAAGGCGAUUAGAUACCGCCCUAGUUCUGACCGUAAACGAUGCCACCUAGCGAUCUGAUUGGGUAUUUUUGCCUGGUCAGGGAGCUUCCCGGAAACGAAAGUCUUUCGGUUCCUGGGGUAGUAUGGUUGCAAAGCUGAAACUUAAAGAAAUUGACGGAAGGGCACCACCAGGAGUGGAGCCUGCGGCUUAAUUUGACUCAACACGGGAAAACUCACCCGGCCCGGACACUGUUAGGAUUGACAGAUUGAAAGCUCUUUCUCGAUUCGGUGGUUGGUGGUGCAUGGCCGUUCUUAGUUGGUGGAGCGAUUUGUCUGGUUUAUUCCGAUAACGAGCGAGACUCUAGCCUGCUAAAUAGUGUGCAGAUACCAUAGGUCUGUACUUACUUCUUAGAGGGAUAAGCGGCGUUAUAGCCGCACGAGAUUGAGCGAUAACAGGUCUGUGAUGCCCUUAGAUGUCCGGGGCUGCACGCGCGCUACACUGGAAGGAUCAGCGGGCUCUUCCAUCCUCGAAAGGGGUUGGUAAACCGUUGAAACUCUUCCGUGACCGGGAUAGGGAAUUGUAAUUAUUUCCCUUGAACGAGGAAUUCCUAGUAAGUGUGAGUCAUCACCUCACGUUGAUUACGUCCCUGCCCUUUGUACACACCGCCCGUCGCUGUCCGGGACUGAGUUGUUUCGAGAAGAGUUGGGAACCUAUGAGCUGGGCUUUCGGGCUCGACUCGUUGGGUGAACUUCUUUAAUCGCAAUGACUUGAACCGGGC
RNAcentral lists this ribosomal RNA (1679 nucleotides) under Cruznema sp. JH-2004. RNAcentral describes it as "SSU rRNA". It matches the Rfam family "Eukaryotic small subunit ribosomal RNA". The record is from RNAcentral. Lineage: Eukaryota; Metazoa; Nematoda; Chromadorea; Rhabditida; Rhabditidae.